AAUCUGUUCAUUGCGCUCAAAAUUUUAGAGAAAGACAUGAGAAAUGAUGAAGAAGUGGAUGAUUGACAGAGAGUUCAGCUGAGUUUCAGUUUGGUGAGAGGAUGUCUAAUAUAGAGGGCACUCCAGGAGUGGGCCUAGCAGCCUUAGCUGGAUGAGGGGGUCCCAUGGAAGAGGAUUGCCUAACACAUGAUUCUGAACUUCAUCCUUACAGACCCGCGAAUGUGUUUCUCAACGACCUGGGGACCAUAUCCGAAAUGUCAUCAUCAAUGGAGAUGGCACCUACCUACCUCUCAGUUUCUGUGGGAGGGU
This 309-nucleotide long non-coding RNA is filed under the name Homo sapiens (human). RNAcentral describes it as "HSALNT0297173". Lineage: Eukaryota; Metazoa; Chordata; Mammalia; Primates; Hominidae. The record is from RNAcentral.